GCCGGGAUGGCGGAAUUGGCAGACGCAGGCGACUUAAAAUCGCUCGUGGUGAUCCCACAUGCGGGUUCGAGUCCCGCUCUCGGCA
RNAcentral lists this transfer RNA (85 nucleotides) under Sandaracinaceae bacterium. RNAcentral's name for it is "tRNA-Leu". It matches the Rfam family "tRNA". Rfam says of the family: Transfer RNA (tRNA) molecules are approximately 80 nucleotides in length. Their secondary structure includes four short double-helical elements and three loops (D, anti-codon, and T loops). Further hydrogen bonds mediate the characteristic L-shaped molecular structure. tRNAs have two regions of fundamental functional importance: the anti-codon, which is responsible for specific mRNA codon recognition, and the 3' end, to which the tRNAs corresponding amino acid is attached (by aminoacyl-tRNA synthetases). tRNAs cope with the degeneracy of the genetic code in two manners: having more than one tRNA (with a specific anti-codon) for a particular amino acid; and 'wobble' base-pairing, i.e. permitting non-standard base-pairing at the 3rd anti-codon position. The record is from RNAcentral. Lineage: Bacteria; Pseudomonadati; Myxococcota; Polyangiales; Sandaracinaceae.